AAAUUGAAGAGUUUGAUCAUGGCUCAGAUUGAACGCUGGCGGCAGGCCUAACACAUGCAAGUCGAACGGUAGCACAGAGAGCUUGCUCUCGGGUGACGAGUGGCGGACGGGUGAGUAAUGUCUGGGAAACUGCCCGAUGGAGGGGGAUAACUACUGGAAACGGUAGCUAAUACCGCAUAACGUCGCAAGACCAAAGUGGGGGACCUUCGGGCCUCACACCAUCGGAUGUGCCCAGAUGGGAUUAGCUAGUAGGUGGGGUAACGGCUCACCUAGGCGACGAUCCCUAGCUGGUCUGAGAGGAUGACCAGCCACACUGGAACUGAGACACGGUCCAGACUCCUACGGGAGGCAGCAGUGGGGAAUAUUGCACAAUGGGCGCAAGCCUGAUGCAGCCAUGCCGCGUGUAUGAAGAAGGCCUUCGGGUUGUAAAGUACUUUCAGCGAGGAGGAAGGCGUUGUGGUUAAUAACCACAGCGAUUGACGUUACUCGCAGAAGAAGCACCGGCUAACUCCGUGCCAGCAGCCGCGGUAAUACGGAGGGUGCAAGCGUUAAUCGGAAUUACUGGGCGUAAAGCGCACGCAGGCGGUUUGUUAAGUCAGAUGUGAAAUCCCCGGGCUCAACCUGGGAACUGCAUUUGAAACUGGCAAGCUUGAGUCUCGUAGAGGGGGGUAGAAUUCCAGGUGUAGCGGUGAAAUGCGUAGAGAUCUGGAGGAAUACCGGUGGCGAAGGCGGCCCCCUGGACAAAGACUGACGCUCAGGUGCGAAAGCGUGGGGAGCAAACAGGAUUAGAUACCCUGGUAGUCCACGCCGUAAACGAUGUCUACUUGGAGGUUGUGCCCUUGAGGCGUGGCUUCCGGAGCUAACGCGUUAAGUAGACCGCCUGGGGAGUACGGCCGCAAGGUUAAAACUCAAAUGAAUUGACGGGGGCCCGCACAAGCGGUGGAGCAUGUGGUUUAAUUCGAUGCAACGCGAAGAACCUUACCUGGUCUUGACAUCCACGGAAGUUUUCAGAGAUGAGAAUGUGCCUUCGGGAACCGUGAGACAGGUGCUGCAUGGCUGUCGUCAGCUCGUGUUGUGAAAUGUUGGGUUAAGUCCCGCAACGAGCGCAACCCUUAUCCCUUGUUGCCAGCGGUUAGGCCGGGAACUCAAAGGAGACUGCCAGUGAUAAACUGGAGGAAGGUGGGGAUGACGUCAAGUCAUCAUGGCCCUUACGACCAGGGCUACACACGUGCUACAAUGGCGCAUACAAAGAGAAGCGACCUCGCGAGAGCAAGCGGACCUCAUAAAGUGCGUCGUAGUCCGGAUUGGAGUCUGCAACUCGACUCCAUGAAGUCGGAAUCGCUAGUAAUCGUGGAUCAGAAUGCCACGGUGAAUACGUUCCCGGGCCUUGUACACACCGCCCGUCACACCAUGGGAGUGGGUUGCAAAAGAAGUAGGUAGCUUAACCUUCGGGAGGGCGCUUACCACUUUGUGAUUCAUGACUGGGGUGAAGUCGUAACAAGGUAACCGUAGGGGAACCUGCGGUUGGAUCACCUCCUUA
This 1540-nucleotide ribosomal RNA is filed under the name Salmonella enterica subsp. enterica serovar Kentucky. Its description in RNAcentral is "bacterial SSU rRNA". It matches the Rfam family "Bacterial small subunit ribosomal RNA". The record is from RNAcentral. Lineage: Bacteria; Pseudomonadati; Pseudomonadota; Gammaproteobacteria; Enterobacterales; Enterobacteriaceae.